Molecule: long non-coding RNA, 1436 nt
Filed under: Trifolium pratense (red clover)
Lineage: Eukaryota; Viridiplantae; Streptophyta; Magnoliopsida; Fabales; Fabaceae
Description: long non-coding RNA (TPRA_LNC008715)
Source: RNAcentral
AAGACUUAUCAAAAGUCAGUGAACCGAACUCUUUCAAAUUCGUCAAACCUUCAUUUCAGCUCAGUAGUUUUCCCAGAGACAUAGGUCAAUUGACUACACUAUUAGAGAAAGACAAACUAUACUUCAAACAUUCCUUUAAUUCCUAAUGUCAGUUUGUUGUACCAUUCUCGUAGAAUGAGAAUCAAGUUUGUCCCAAUUCAAGAGAACUGUCGGUGGAAAUAAAUCAUGAAGCAUGAACAUACACCGGCAGAAUCAGGAUUUUCAAUUACCUACCCUUUCACGUGAACUAUAAAUCAGCUAAAUUCAUCGAAUCGAUGUGAUGCAUGAUUCGUAAUCAGCCAACCUUGUUAAGUUAUGAACAUUACAUUCCUCAAGCCUAUCUCAUUUUGAUAGAGAGAUAAAUUCUUCCGGUGCUUUGCGAUCUAUCACUUACAUUUAGCGUAAAAAUUCAAUUAAGUUGCGAAUCUUUCUAAUUCCUCAAUAUCAGUGAAUUAGAUUCACAGUUAGAAUGUUAUCCUUAUGUAACUCUGACGAAAUGUCUUCAGCUUUUCACCUUUGUUAUCAGUAUUCAGUUUGGACCUAUGUAAAGUUGAAUGGCUUGUUAAGAGUAAUGAGUUGUGUUCCUUUAAAGGACUAUUAGUUAUUCAUGUUGACCUUCAGAGCAGUAACCUUAUGUUUACCAUCAAGAAAUUCUUCAAUCUUCUAGUUUCAUUACUGAUGACCGGUUCAUAAUCACAUAAGUCUAAUUAAUUAUGUAGGGUCAUGAGUAAUUUUAGUUCAAGUUCUCACGUGUCUUGUUAAUAUGUUAAUCAACAAGCAACCUAGAGUUAGUCAACUCAAUUAGUAGUAGCAUCACCAUCGGUAAAUCGAGACAAUUGUGUUUUACUUUCCCUUAGCGACCAGUCUAUUUUAGACAACUCGUUAUCGCAAAAUUGCAUCAGAGAAUUCUAUCCAAAUCUUACCUUAAUUAAGUUAGGGGACUCAUCAUAAGAAGUAACCUCAAUGAACACUGAUGGAAUGAGAAAAUCGUAAGCGCUAUGCAACAAUGAGGAGACUUUGAGUAUGUAAUAAUUGUAAUAGAUAAGGAGUGAAGUGGUGCAGAUAUGUUAGAUUUUGGUGAAGUAUUUAUACAGUGGUGCAUCGGAAGUCACUAUUGAUGCGAGUAUUACUUUGAAACGUUUACGGUACAAGAAGUAAUAACAAUAUGAGUAACGCCGGAUAAGAUGAGACAAUGUGUGACAUUGCCCGGGAAUUGUAGACCGAGGUUGGAAUGACGCAGUCAGAAGAUAAUGGUAAAAAGUUGAUAUCAGAGUGCGCAGCAAGUAAUGGUGGAGAAUGCAGUCAGCAGGUUGGUCUUUAGGCCAACAACCAUUUAGGAAGAAGAAAGUUUUAUUCCAAGGAAUUGGAUGUGGAAGACGGUAAGAUAAUUAAAAGAN